Long non-coding RNA from Harpia harpyja (harpy eagle), 454 nucleotides. RefSeq lists it as uncharacterized. The transcript has 3 exons. The record is from RefSeq and is a predicted model, not a curated record. Lineage: Eukaryota; Metazoa; Chordata; Aves; Accipitriformes; Accipitridae.
UGUCAGCGGACUGAAAAAUAUCUCUAUUUUUCCCUUUGCAACAAAAAGCAAAAGCCAGCUUUUGAAAGACUAUUUUAAAAGUAGAAAAGCUUCAGGCUUCUGAGGCUUCAUCUUCCAAAAUUUUAAUGAUGGCUCAUAAAAGCUAGUAUUCUGCAGAGAAACAGUACAAUUUCUGUCUUGCAUUCUUCUAAAAGCACUGGGGAGGAAGUGCUGCUGCUUCAUACUGAAAUCCUGUCUAGUGGACAGAAAGUUUUCCAGGAGCAGUGUGGCUGUGUUUCUCCGGAUGACCUGUGGUUCCAGGUUCUUCCUGAAGAAAAAUUCUAAGUUAUUAAUCAGAUUGGAAGAUUUUAUGGUAAACUGCAAAGGACAAAGAGAAUUGCUCCACCAAGGCCAGAAAUUGAGCCCGCAUGAAGUAGCUGAAUGGCUGUGAUAUAUGUCCCAUAGAAAACUGGCA